UGGGGAAUAUUGGACAAUGGGCGAAAGCCUGAUCCAGCGACGCCGCGUGAGUGAAGAAGUAUUUCGGUAUGUAAAGCUCUAUCAGCAGGGAAGAAAAUGACGGUACCUGACUAAGAAGCCCCGGCUAACUACGUGCCAGCAGCCGCGGUAAUACGUAGGGGGCAAGCGUUAUCCGGAUUUACUGGGUGUAAAGGGAGCGUAGACGGUUAAGCAAGUCUGAAGUGAAAGCCCGGGGCUCAACCCCGGUACUGCUUUGGAAACUGUUUGACUUGAGUGCAGGAGAGGUAAGUGGAAUUCCUAGUGUAGCGGUGAAAUGCGUAGAUAUUAGGAGGAACACCAGUGGCGAAGGCGGCUUACUGGACUGUAACUGACGUUGAGGCUCGAAAGCGUGGGGAGCAAA
This 400-nucleotide ribosomal RNA is filed under the name uncultured bacterium. Its description in RNAcentral is "bacterial SSU rRNA". It matches the Rfam family "Bacterial small subunit ribosomal RNA", at positions 355 to 772 of the family's 1533-position model. The record is from RNAcentral.